AUUGAACGCUGGCGGCAGGCCUAACACAUGCAAGUCGAGCGGAUGAAGGGAGCUUGCUCCUGGAUUCCGCGGCGGACGGGUGAGUAAUGCCUAGGAAUCUGCCUGGUCGUGGGGGAUAACGUCCGGAAACGGGCGCUAAUACCGCAUACGUCCUGAGGGAGAAAGUGGGGGAUCUUCGGACCUCACGCUAUCAGAUGAGCCUAGGUCGGAUUAGCUAGUUGGUGGGGUAAAGGCCUACCAAGGCGACGAUCCGUAACUGGUCUGAGAGGAUGAUCAGUCACACUGGAACUGAGACACGGUCCAGACUCCUACGGGAGGCCGCAGUGGGGAAUAUUUGACAAAGGGCGAAAGCCUGAUCCAGCCAUGCCGCGUGUGUGAAGAAGGUCUUCGGAUUGUAAAGCACUUUAAGUUGGGAGGAAGGGCAGUAAGUUAAUACCUUGCUGUUUUGACGGGACCAACAGAAUAAGCACCGGCUAACUUCGUG
This 484-nucleotide ribosomal RNA is filed under the name uncultured bacterium. RNAcentral's name for it is "partial 16S ribosomal RNA". It matches the Rfam family "Bacterial small subunit ribosomal RNA", at positions 30 to 507 of the family's 1533-position model. The record is from RNAcentral.